This is a long non-coding RNA of Octopus sinensis (East Asian common octopus), 126 nucleotides long. RefSeq lists it as uncharacterized. The transcript is spliced from 2 exons. Lineage: Eukaryota; Metazoa; Mollusca; Cephalopoda; Octopoda; Octopodidae. The record is from RefSeq and is a predicted model, not a curated record.
AAGAAUAUAUAGUCGAUUAAAGUGACCCUGGUACAUGCCUGGUACUUAUUUUAUCGAUUCCAUCCUCCACCAGAAAGACUAGAUCCGGGCUCGAUUUGAACUCAGAACAACAUAAAACGGCAAACU